This 1498-nucleotide ribosomal RNA is filed under the name uncultured bacterium. Its description in RNAcentral is "16S ribosomal RNA". It matches the Rfam family "Bacterial small subunit ribosomal RNA". The record is from RNAcentral.
AGAGUUUGAUUAUGGCUCAGGAUGAACGCUAGCGACAGGCCUAACACAUGCAAGUCGAGGGGCAUCGGGGCGAGGAGCAAUCCUUGCCGCCGGCGACCGGCGCACGGGUGAGUAACGCGUAUGCGACCUGCCCGUUGCAGGGGGAUAAUCGGGAGAAAUCCCGUCUAAUACCGCGUAAUGCCGCGGGGCUGCAUGGCCCUGCGGCCAAAGGGAGCGAUUCCGGCAACGGAUGGGCAUGCGUGACAUUAGCUAGUUGGCGGGGCAACGGCCCACCAAGGCGACGAUGUCUAGGGGUUCUGAGAGGAAGGUCCCCCACACUGGUACUGAGACACGGACCAGACUCCUACGGGAGGCAGCAGUGAGGAAUAUUGGUCAAUGGGCGCGAGCCUGAACCAGCCAAGUCGCGUGAGGGAUGACGGCCCUACGGGUUGUAAACCUCUUUUGUCGGGGAGCGAAUUCCGCCACGUGUGGCGGAGUCGAGAGUACCCGAAGAAAAAGCAUCGGCUAACUCCGUGCCAGCAGCCGCGGUAAUACGGAGGAUGCGAGCGUUAUCCGGAUUUAUUGGGUUUAAAGGGUGCGUAGGCGGACUGUCAAGUCAGCGGUAAAAUACGGGGGCUCAACCUCCGCCCGCCGUUGAAACUGACGGUCUUGAGUGGGCGAGAAGUAUGCGGAAUGCGUGGUGUAGCGGUGAAAUGCAUAGAUAUCACGCAGAACUCCGAUUGCGAAGGCAGCAUACCGGCGCCCGACUGACGCUGAAGCACGAAAGCGUGGGUAUCGAACAGGAUUAGAUACCCUGGUAGUCCACGCAGUAAACGAUGAAUACUAGCUGUCCGGGGCGAAUGAGCCCUGGGUGGCACAGCGAAAGCGUUAAGUAUUCCACCUGGGGAGUACGCCGGCAACGGUGAAACUCAAAGGAAUUGACGGGGGCCCGCACAAGCGGAGGAACAUGUGGUUUAAUUCGAUGAUACGCGAGGAACCUUACCCGGGCUCAAACGACACAGGAACGUACCUGAAAGGGUUCGGCUCUACGGAGCCUGUGUCGAGGUGCUGCAUGGUUGUCGUCAGCUCGUGCCGUGAGGUGUCGGCUUAAGUGCCAUAACGAGCGCAACCCCCAUCGACAGUUGCUAACAGGUCAGGCUGAGGACUCUGUCGAGACUGCCGGCGCAAGCUGCGAGGAAGGCGGGGAUGACGUCAAAUCAGCACGGCCCUUACGUCCGGGGCGACACACGUGUUACAAUGGCAGGUACAGCGGGAAGCCACCUGGCGACAGGGAGCGGAACCCGAAAGCCUGUCUCAGUUCGGAUUGGAGUCUGCAACCCGACUCCAUGAAGCUGGAUUCGCUAGUAAUCGCGCAUCAGCCACGGCGCGGUGAAUACGUUCCCGGGCCUUGUACACACCGCCCGUCAAGCCAUGGAAGCCGGGGGUGCCUGAAGUGCGCUGCCGCGAGGAGCGCCCUAGGGUAAAACCGGUGACUGGGGCUAAGUCGUAACAAGGUAAC